Molecule: long non-coding RNA, 13642 nt
Filed under: Nicotiana tabacum (common tobacco)
Lineage: Eukaryota; Viridiplantae; Streptophyta; Magnoliopsida; Solanales; Solanaceae
Description: long non-coding RNA (NTAB_LNC011289)
Source: RNAcentral
GAUGGUGCCUCUCAUACAUACAAGGCCAGCCGACACAACACCCAAUUCCUUUUAGCAAUUGAAAAUACACAAAUUAAGUCUUUAACACGAUAAAAUCUCAAUUAAGCAGUGAAAACAAAACAAUUUGCGGAAUAUAAAACCAACAAAGCCCGACAUCGGGGUGUCACCAGUCAUGAGCAUCUAUCAUAAGAAAUACAAGUCUUUAAAGAGUCUACUCAACAAUUACAUAACCAAAACAGAAGAAAAUAAGAUAAAGGGAGAAGCACUAGGCUGCGAACGCCGAGCAGCUACCUAGUGAAUCUCCGAAGUCUACUAGAAGCUCUCAACCCUCGUGAGCAGGACCUGAAGCGCCUGAAUCUGCACAUGGGGUGCAGGGAGUAAAGUGAGUACUCCAACUCAAUGAGUAAUAAUAAUAAAUGCAGACUCGGAAAUCACGUAAAGGCACAUCAAUAGGAUAUAAAGAAAACAGUAAAAGCCAGUAAAAAUAAUGAAACAGUGAAAAUGUGUAAAGUCACUUUAGUUCAGUUUAAGCUUCUUUAGAAUGCCUUUUUAAUAUCUAAGCAAGUAAAUUAUAGGUAACUAGAAAAAAUAAACACAUAAAGAACCGCCCCUCAGGCUCAAUACCAACAAAAUCAGCCCAUCGGGCAACACAUGGAACAACACCAGCCCCUCGGGCUAUAUCUCAAAUCACAAUGGGUACCUGCGCUCACUGGGGGUGUGUAGACUCCUGGAGGGGCCCCUUACGGCCCAAGCGCAAUAUCACAUAGGCUCUCGGCCUCAUAUCAACAAGCCACCUUGUGGCGUACAAUCUCAGGCCCCUCGGCCUUAUAAUCAUAAGCAGUGUAUCCACACAACAUAGGCCCUCGGCCUUACUCAGUCAAAAUCUCAUAAGCCACUAGGGCAAUAGUAAAACAUGAUGCUCAGCCCAAAUUAUCAUUUAAAAUAUCAUUUAAUGUAUUAAAACAGAGUAUACAUGGAUGAGUUAUGAAAAUAGUAGAUUAUAGCAUGACUGAGUACAAGUAUAAAGUCAAAACGGUGAGGAAAUAUCAGUAAAAGAUCUCCUAAGGGUCCAAAUAGUUGGCACGAGGCCCAAUUAUGGCAUUCAGCCCAAAACAUGAUGAUAGCAAAUACUUUUAAAUCAAAUACUAGGUAAAACAGUCAUUUGGGACAGACAAGUCACAAUCCCAAAUGGUGCACGACCCCACGCUCGUCGUCUAGCGUGUACGUCACCUUAAUAUAGCACAACGAUGUGUAAUCCGGGUUUUCAUACCCUCAGGACAACAUUUACAAUCAUUACUCACCUCCAUCCGGUCCAAACUCUAGCCCGCGAUGCCUUUGCCCCUCGAAUCGGCGUCCACUCGCAUCGAAUCUAUCCAAAUCAUAAUCAUGACGUCAAAAUAUGCUAAAGCAACGAAGCUCAUGCGAAAAUAAACAAGUUAUAGCAUAAAUCCCAAAAUUAACCAAAACCCGACCCCCGGGACCAUGUCUUUGAAUAUGAUAAAAUUUACAUCAAUAGAUUCCGUAUCUCCCCACGAGUUCAUACAUAUCAAAAGUCUAAAAACCAACCGCAACUGGCCAUUCAAAUCCUCAAGUCUAGGUCUCCAAUACCAAGCCCUAGUUUCCCCAAUUUUAACCCUUAAAUUCCAUUAAUUACAGCUCUAAUCCGUGAAAUAAUACCACAUUAUCGAUUAUUAGACUUGAAAAUCUUACCUCCAGACGAUAUCCCUUGAUUCCCUCUUCAAAAUCUCCCAAAAAGCUCCAAAACCGACUUGAAAUGGUGACGAAUAACUCAAAAAUUGCGAAGGAUUACUUUUAUACCUUCUGGCCUAGGGAUUCUGCACCUGCGGCCAAUUUUUUGCUUCUGCGGUGCUGCUUUUGCUGUCCCAAGCACCGCAUCUGCGGUCCUCACUUAAGUCCUCCAAUUCCACAUCUGCGAUGUCCAAUCCGCACUUGCGCCAUCGUAGGUGCGGUUCCUUAACCGCUUCUGCAAUUCCUGCCUCCCUUGCUUUCUUCCGCAUCUGCGACUCCCAAACUCACUUAUGCGAGACCUCACCUGCGGUCCCCUUGCCGCAGGUGCGGUUAUGAUAGCAAAUGGCACAUCUUCAGCUGCCAAAACCAAUUUCCAAACUUUCCGCGAACCAUCCGAAAUCACCCCGAGGCCCCCAGGACCUCAACCAAAAGCACAAAUACACCAUAUACCACCAUCCAAACUUAUAACAAUCUUCAAAACACCUCAAACAACCUCGAAUAAACCAAAACACAUCGGAUUCAAGCCUAAGUUUCCAAAAUCUUCUGAAUUACACUUUUGAUCAAAAAGUAUAAUAAACCAUGUUCAAAUGGCCUGAAAUUUUGCACACAUAUCCCAAAUGACACAACGGUCUUACUACAACUCUCGAAAUUCUAUUCCAAGCCCUAUAUGAAAAUCUCACCUAUCAACCGGAAAAUGCCAAAAUACCAAUUUCGCCAAUUCAAGCCUAAAUCUACUAUGUACCUCCAAAACACAUUCCGAUCACGCUCCUAAGGCUCAAAUCACCUCCCGAAGCUAUCUGAACCAUCAGAACUCACAUCUGAGCCCUCUAACACAUAAGUCAACAUCCGGUUAACUUUUCCAACUUAAGCUUCCUCAAAAGAGACUACGUGUCUCCAAAGAAAUACCGAUAAACAAAGAAAUAAGAAGCAGAAAUACGGGAAACGGAGAGGUAACUCAUGAGACGACUGGUCGGGUCGUUACAAUAUUCCUUAUAGAUUUCGAGAUAUAAGCUUCCAACGUAGGCUCCUCACAUCAAAAAUUUCUGGAAAAAUUACAAAACAACUUUACUAGUCUUUAUUCAAUCGAUCAUAACUUUCUGUACAAAUGAUCAAAUGAUGAAUGGUUUAGCUUUCUGGAAACUAGAAUCAAAGCACUACAACUUUCAUGUUUUGCAAAUUUUCAGAUUCCUUAGAGAUUUCGAGAUAUAAGCUUCCAAAAUAGACUCCAUGAUUGCACAGUUGUUGUCCAAAGACAGCUGCUGCUGCUGAAAAUUCCAGCAGCCUCUUUUGCUCGAAAUCUAUUUCGUUAACCUUCUGAAAUCCACCCGAGACACUAGGAACCUUAACCAAUUAUACCAACAUGUCCAAAAGUACAAUACAAACUUAAUGGAGGCUUCAAACCACGUCAAACAAUGCCGAAAUUAUGAAUCGUGCGCAAAUCUUCCAACUUCUACAUUUUGCGCAGAAACAUAUCAAAUCAAUCCGGAAUGACUUCAAAUAUUGCACAUAAGUCAUAAAUGACAUAAUGGAUCUUUUUCAAUUUUUUGAAUCGGACUCCGACCCCGAUAUCAAAAGUCAACUCUCGGUCAAACUUUCCAAAAAUCUUCUAAACUUUUGCCAAAAUGCGCCGAAUCAUCCUACGGAUUUCCAAAUCCAAAUCCGAGCAUGUGCCUAAGUCUGAAAUUACCAUACGAAGCUAUUGGAGUCAUCAAAAUUUUAUUUCAGAGUCGUUUUCUCAAAAGUCAAAUCUCUGGUCAAACUUAAGAAAUCUUUAGCAUUAGAUCUCUAGAUUUAGUUAAAUGGCAAUAAUCUGAGUCGGGGACCUCCGAAUUCAAUUCCGGGCAUACGUCCAAGUCCCAAAUCACAAUACGGACCUAAGGGAACUAUCAAAACACUAAUCCAAGUCUAUUUGCUCAAAAUGUUGACCGAAGUCAACUCGGUUGAGUUUUAAAGCUCAAUUCACAUUUUAAUCCAUUUUUCACAUAAACACAUUCCGGAAAAUUAUACGGAUUGCGCAUGCAAGUCGAGGAAUGAUUAAUAACGCUUUUCAAGGUCUUAAAAUAGUGAGAUGAUUAUUUAAUUUGAAGAUGACAUUUUGGGUCAUCACAUUCUCCACCUCUAAAAUAAAUGUGCGUCCUCGAACGUACUAAGAAUUAUUCUGAAGUUACCAAAUUGAUUAAUUUACUUUUAUACAUAUACUCACGGUUGACCCCAUGUUACCGCAUUCGACAUAAGUCCGACAACACCAUUUCAAUUGAGAUUAUUUCCUUUAUCCAUAUUUGUAAACUUUAAGACCAAAUUUCGUACACUCCGAAUAUUUUCAAAAAGGUCAGAUUUUCAAAUCAACACAAGAUAUGAGUCUUGACUGGCAAUAACAACCCGUGCCUACGCACACAUCAACUUUUUAAUAGUGCUUAACUACUUCAAAAAAAUUUUGGGGUGUUACAUUCUACCCCACUUAGGGUCAUUCGUACUCAAGUGAGAAGUAGAGUCCAUCCUUAAAUACAUAAUGUAGUUUAUCUCUUUCUUCGCAUAUCUUGAUGUCCCAAUUUUUUUUAAACAAUUUCGGCAGUGCCUCCCUUGUAAUUGGGCAUAUCCACCUAUCAGAGUAACACCAAAACAACUCCUAACAACAUAUUCACAACCCAACAAAGCACCACAAUGUAUAUAUCAAUAACACUAAUCUCUGCAUUACAAGCACGGCAUUAUCAUAGUGAUAUCUUGACAUGAAACACAUCAUAUGUAUGACCAUAACCACAUCUCGGGUUUUAAUAGUUGUUCAUAAUAGAUUACAACAUCGCCAAUUAACCUCAUGUUAAAAAAAAUCUCAUUUCAAAUCUCCACUUUACUAACAACGAGACAUGAAAACCUAAUAAUUACCUACCCAAAAUAACGAGUCACAAUUUAACGUCACCUGGGCACUCACCUUGUAGGCUAAAACUCAAUAAUUACAAUACAAAUUUGGCAAAUUAUGCACAGAGAUAUUCAUACAAGAAUUUUCAAAUGAGCCUAAUAGGCAUGACUCCUUAUAAAUACUAUAGUACAAAUUUUAAUUUCACAAAGGGAGCAUUUAAACACAUAAUUUUUUUCCACCAUAAGGACCUCGUCCUUAUAUAACAUCCUCCGUAGCUUGUGGCCCGGUUUAAAUAUUUCACAUUAUAUAAAAAUACGAGGAUAUCAUCCUCAACUCUGUUUCACAAGUAAUAUGCACAUCGUGCCAAAUCGGAACAUUCCAUUGUCUUCUUUUAAAUAAUUUUCGUUAAACAAAAUCACAACAUAUAAUGAACCCUCAUAUCGGUAGGGCAUAUAAUUCACAAUUGAAAUUAAUUAUCUGAAAAUUACAUCAACGUACCGAAAUAAUUAACAAAAGUUAUUCUUAGCCUCACAACUAUUUUUAGUGACCAACACAUAAUGAUAGGCAUACCUAUCUCCAUAUAAUCUCACAAUAGGAGUGUUCUCAUAAGUAGAUUUCAGGGGUACGAAGCUCACUCAUGAGUGGAGCAUAUUAGAAGGAUUUUCCUCGAUACUCAUAACCUAACCAAGUUAAGAAAAUUGUCACUUUAUAAUAAUCUGAGAUCGUACUUGUAGCGAUACCGUCUGGUAUAGCAACCUCAGCCAUGCCAUAGAAAAUAUAUCAACGGACUGGGUCUCCACUUGUAGGAUUCUCACCUCCACCUCUAACAUCCUGACCUCUACCUCUGGCUGGUCAUGUAAUUGGAGUAGUAACUACAAUAAGGCACGUAGCCUGAGUGCUUUGAUAAAAUAUGUCUCUCCCAAGUCUAGGACAAUUUUCUCAUGAUGUUCCUAGUACCACCACAUUCAUAUCAAUCCCUUUGAGGGUUCAAUGGCUUAUACUGAGUCUGUACUAGAUAACUGGAAUAACCAUUGUACGGCCCUCGUGUCAGUAGUACAUUAAAAGAACUUACUGGAGCACCCCGAGUUGUACAAAAUUUCAAGAUCAUAAUUGAGUUCUUUAAUGAGUUCGUUGACUCUCUCUCUCUUUUUGGAUGUAGGAACCAAAGUAGGAGUAUGAUGGCUAACCUAUUGAACCUGAUGACAUGUUCUGACACUGUCAUAGUAACCUGAUGCAACCAUUCAAACCCUGUGUGCCACACAUUACAGAGAAUCGUGGAAAUAAACUCUUUCAAAAGCAUUUCUGAGAAUUGAGAUGAGUAGGUGGUGUUGCAUUCGCUGGUCUGCCCUCUUCAUAGGCUUGCCACAAACACCGGCUGCUAAUUUCCUCUUUUCCUAUGCGGGCUUAACACUGUUGAGCUACCCCAUUUAUGCAUAUACUCUUCGUUAUUCUUUGGGAUAAUUCUUACCCCUAUUUAUGCACAACGAUCACAAAGGUAAAUCUCUAUACAGAUAAAUCUUGGCACAAACCACAUAGUCCAGAAGGUCGUCUACCACUAUACUUCCUCCGAAGCACCCCAAAAUCUGCAACCGUGACUUCCAUGCUGAGUAGACCUUCUAUAAAUUUAAAGUUGAUUCUCUAACUCUUUUGGUACUGAAGUAAUUGAUUAUUAAGGAGGCAGACGUACCGUAAGUCCCAAUCCUAUCCCUUGCAAAAUAUAAGGCAUUAAAUAUGUGUGUAUUAUUGGGGAGCCUGUUACAUCUCACAUUUUCGUAUGUUAAAAUUUCAUUUUUAGUUAACCAAUGUGGACCCGAGGACAAGAUCAUCUUGACGUUAACGUAUUUACGCUAUUUGUAACUAGCAAUAAAUAAGUAUUAUGAAGGAUAAAGGGGUACACGAAUUAAAAAAACGAGUUUUCGUCGAAAGUGGCCAAUUUGGAAUAAAAUAUGGGUCGAGCAAUAAUACCCAAUAAUUAUGAACUAGUAUCAUGCAAGGUACCAUAUGACCACUAUAGUAUAAUGUGUAAAGUAUAUAUAUAUAUAGUAUAUUAAAAAUAAAUUAAAUUUUAAGUAAUUUGGAGCAAUUUUUAAAUUAUGUGGGUAAUUGGUUAAUUAUCGGGUAACGGGACAUUACCCGAUUAACUAAUAAGUGGCUAAGAACUUAAUAAUUACCACCCCACACACACACAAAUACGUGGAAAGAAGCCACCAAGUCAAGAAGUAACUAAGUAGUCACUUAUGCCUAGGUGGCAACUUGAGCAUAAAUAAGAUGGCUGACUAACCAAGUCAUCUGCUAAAAUCCAAUGUGAAUCAAAAGUGAACCCAAAAAAUGUUAGUCUUUCCAAACUUUAAAGAAACAAAAACGUUAUUCAACUCAAGUUCUCAAGGAACCAAAAAAUGUUUCCUCUCAGUUUCAAGGAAACCAAAAUUGUUAUUUCGUUCCAAAAUUUUAGGAGCCAGAAACAAUUUUCGCCCAUGAAUUUCUAAGAAGUAGAGGAUAAUUUCGUUCAAUCAACGAAGGUUUUCCAACGAAAUAAUAUACGGAGUUUUCUCUACUCCAGGUAUAUUAAGGCCCUCUCUUCUUUCUUUUAGCAUGGUCCAAAUUAUACUAAAGAAACGAGCAAACACACAGUUUUCAUAAAUUACUGUAACGACCCGGCCGAUCAUUUUAAGAAUUUGUGCCCUGAUUCCCUAUUAACUGAUUUCCCUGUGUUUUUCUGCUAUUGUGAGUUGCCGGGAUGGUUUAUUUUGAGUUUCGAAGAGUUUUGGGACAUUUAGUCCAUAAAUGAGAGCUUAAGUUUUGGAAAUUUGACCGUAGUCGGAACAGUAUGAAGAUGGCCUCGAAAUGAAAUUCUGAUGGUUCUGUUAGCUCUGUUGGGUGAUUUCGGGUAUAGGAGCAUGUUCGGAUUGUGUUUUGGAGUUCCAUGGCUAAUUUAGGCUUGAAAUGCCGAAAGUUGAAUUUUUGAAAUUUUUGGUUCGAUAGUAAGAUUUUGAUCCGAGGGUCGGAAUGAAAUUCUGAAAGUUGGAGUAGCUCUUUAGUGUUGAAUGUGACGUGUGUGCAAAAUUUCAGGUCAUUAGAACGAGGUUUGAUGGACUUUUUGAUUGAAAGCGUAAUUUGAGAGUUUUUAAAAUUCUUAGGCUUUAAUCCGAUGAAAAAUUGGUGUUUUGAUGUUGCUUUGAGCAUUUCGAAGAAUGGAAAAAGUUUGAAUGAUGUUUCAAGAUUAGUUGGGUUUGGUUGAGGUCUCGGGGGCCUCGGGUGUAUUUCGGAUGCUCAACGGGUCAUUUUGGAACUUGUUGGAAUUCCUGAACUGCUGGUAUUUGGUUUUCUUAUAUGCGAUUGCAAUAAUGGGGCGGCGAUCGCAUAGGUUUGUUGGUGAGGUGGCAGAAUUGGUGCUAUGCGAUCGCCAGGAUUGGUUCGCGACCACGAAGUGAGAGGAUCCAAAGCAGUAUGGUCGCUUGAUGUUGUAUGCGAACGCAUAGUGUGGGCGUAUGUGGCAGGGUUUUAAAAGCCCAAUCCGCGACCCUUCUUCAUUUUCCACCAUUUUUGAAUGGGAUUGAAGCUUUUGAGGGAGAUUUUUGAGGAAACCAAAGAGGAAUUACUUGGAGGUAACAUUUUUGACUUCAUAUCUCAUUUAUAUGUGAUUAAAGUUCUAAUUAGUGGUGAAAAAUUAGGGAAAAAUCAGUGCAAAAUGGGUAACUAGGGCUUAAGAUUAAGAGACCUUAAAAUGGGUAUUUGAGGGGUCAAUUUAACUCUGAUUUCAGUGUUCUUGUUAUGUAUAGACUCAUGAGAGUAUGAGGAUUCUUAAAAUUUAAAUUUUACCCGAUUCCGAGAUGUGGGCCUGGGGCAUUUUGGUCAUUUUACCUAAUUUUGCGUAUUAUCUUAGAAUUUAUUUGUAGAAUUAGUUACUUAAAGUGUUAUUUACAUUAUGCAAUUGAAUUGAAUAGAUUUGGGCCAUUUGGAGUCGAGUACUCGUGGCAAGAACGUAGUUUCUGAUUGACUUUGAUCCGGUUCGAGGUAAGUGACUUGCCUAACCUUGUGUGGGGGACAUUCCCCUUAGGAUUUGGUAUUAUUGAUAAUGGAAAUGCCUUGUACGUGAGGUGACAAGUGCGUACUUGUGCUAAUUAUUGAAAAUCCGGUUUCCAUUAAGUAUUUACUAGUAUGUUUCUUUUCAUGUGUUAUACUACUUGCAAUUUAAGCCUGUUGUUAGCUUAGGAAAGCAUGUCUAAUUGACUUAAUUGCCUUACUUGCUCAAACUGCCUUAUUUGGAUUACGUGCAGCAUGCUAGGUUAGAAAUACCUGUUUUACCUUGGUAUGGAACUUGAAUUGAAAUGUGUACUCUUCUUGUUGUUGAUGUGUGUUUACUUUGGGACUACGGGACAGUAUCCCGGGAGAUCCCCCUGUAUGUUUACUUUGGGAUUACGAAACGGUAUUCUGGGAGAUCCCCCUGCACAUUUACAUUGGAACUACAGGGUUGCACCCGGUAGAUUCCCCCUGUACUGAGUAUUUACAUUUGGGACUACGAAUCGGUAUUCCGGGAGAUGCCCUCGUAUUAUGAGUUGGACUACGGGACGGUAUCCCGGGAGAUCCACUGGAUAUUUAUAUUUGGGACUAUAGGACGGUAUCCUGGGAGAUGCCCGGUUGUUAUAUUUGUGUUGAGUUAUAUUUCUUUCCGUGUUUACUUUGCCUCUGUAGUAAUUGUUGUUAUCCUUUAUAUCCUGUGUUACUUUUACUGUUGUACUUAUUUAUACUAUUUUAUUCUACAUUGUUGAACUUUAUAUUUUAUUUAACCUCGGUAGGGCCCUGACCUUCCUUGUUACUACCCGACCGAGGUUAGGCUUGGCACUUACUGAGUACCGUUGUGGUGUACUCAUGACCUUUCUGCGCAUGUUUUUCCUGUGCAGAUCCAAGUACUUCCACUCAGACUUAUCACGCUUGAGACGAUACGCUUGUAGAGACUCCGAGGUAUAUCUGCUGUGUCCGCAGACCGAAGAGUCCCUUUCUACUCUCUCUUUUUGUAUUAGCCCUUCUGUACUUUUGUUUCUUUGUUAGACAUUCUGGAGUUAGAUGCUUGUAGACAUUCAAAGGCUUGUGAUCAUGAGAUUCUGGGUUUUGGGAAAUGUUAUUAGCUUCGAGAGUUGUUAUUGUGUAUGUUGAGCGGCAUUUUAAAUACUAUUUUAUUUUACUAUUUCGAUUUUUAUAAUUGUUCUUCUGCAAUUAUUUUUUAUAUUCUGUAUUUUUAGGCUUACCUAGUCGUAGAGAAUAUGUGCCAUCAUCAUGGUUCAUACGGGGCGAACCGGUAUCGUGACAAGUUGGUAUCAGAGCUAUAGGUUCAUAGGAGUCAUGAAUCACAAGCCGGUUUAUUAGAGUCUCGCUGAUCGGUACGGAGACGUCUGUACUUAUCUGCGAGAGGCUAUGUAACUGUUAGGAAAAUUCCACUUUAUUUGAUUUCCUUGUCGUGCGAGAUUUUGAUGUCGCAAUUCUAAACUUAUGUCUUCUAUUCUCUCACAGAUGGUGAGAACACGUGCUACCCGAGAUGAUCAGGCACCCGCGCCCCUUACUGCAGCCGUCAGAGGCCGAGGUCGGGGUAGAGGCCGAGGACGUGCAUGUGGUGCAGCUAGAGCACCCGUACGAGCUGCCAGCGAGGUACCACCAGCAGUUCUAGCUGAAGUCCAGGCACCUGAUAUGCCUACUGUUACUAUUACUCCAGCUCUUCAGGCGACUCUUGCGCAGUUCAUGAGCAUGUACGCCACUUUGACUUAGGCAGGGUUGCUUCCCCUUGAUGCAGCCACAUCUUAGGCCGAGGAAGGAGCACAGACUCCUGCCGCCCACACUCCUAAGCAGCGAGUGCAUAUUGAUUAGGUCCUAGGGAUUAUUCCUGUAUAGCCUCUACUCCCAAGUCUGCCUGAGGAUAGGGAAGCGACUUCAGAGGAUGAGCAGCGGAGACUUGAGAGGUUCAAGAAGUAUGAUCCUCUUGUAUUCAGUGGGUUAGCAUCAGAUGAUGCCUUGGGAUUUCUAGAGGAGUGUCAUCGUAUCCUCCACACUAUGGGUAUAUCAGGAUCGAGUGGGGUUUCUUUCACUACCUUUCAGCUUCGAGAAGUUGCCUAUGAGUAGUGGCGCACCUAUGAAUUAGACAGUCCGGAUGAAGCAGCUUCACUAACUUGGACUCAGUUUUCAGAUAUGUUCCUGAGAGAGCUUAUUCCUCAGAGCCUCAGGGACGCAUGUCGUGUAGAGUUUGAAUAUUUGCUCCAGGGUACUAUGACUGUCUCGGAGUAUGCUGUCCCUUACACUAGAUUGGCUAGACAUGCCCCAGCCUUGGUUUCUACUGUUCGCAAGAGGGUUCGUNNNNNNNNNNNNNNNNNNNNNNNNNNNNNNNNNNNNNNNNNNNNNNNNNNNNNNNNNNNNNNNNNNNNNNNNNNNNNNNNNNNNNNNNNNNNNNNNNNNNNNNNNNNNNNNNNNNNNNNNNNNNNNNNNNNNNNNNNNNNNNNNNNNNNNNNNNNNNNNNNNNNNNNNNNNNNNNNNNNNNNNNNNNNNNNNNNNNNNNNNNNNNNNNNNNNNNNNNNNNNNNNNNNNNNNNNNNNNNNNNNNNNNNNNNNNNNNNNNNNNNNNNNNNNNNNNNNNNNNNNNNNNNNNNNNNNNNNNNNNNNNNNNNNNNNNNNNNNNNNNNNNNNNNNNNNNNNNNNNNNNNNNNNNNNNNNNNNNNNNNNNNNNNNNNNNNNNNNNNNNNNNNNNNNNNNNNNNNNNNNNNNNNNNNNNNNNNNNNNNNNNNNNNNNNNNNNNNNNNNNNNNNNNNNNNNNNNNNNNNNNNNNNNNNNNNNNNNNNNNNNNNNNNNNNNNNNNNNNNNNNNNNNNNNNNNNNNNNNNNNNNNNNNNNNNNNNNNNNNNNNNNNNNNNNNCCUGAUGUGUUUCCAGCUGAUCUUCCGGGCAUGCCUCCCGAUAGAGAUAUCAAUUUUGGCAUUGAUCUGUUGCUGGGUACUCAGCCCAUUUCUGUUCCUCCGUAUCGUAUGGCUCCUUCUGAGUUGAAGAAGUUGAAGGAUCAGUUACAGGAAUUGUUUGAUAAGGGUUUUAUUAGGCCAGUGUAUCACCUUGGGGUGCUUCUAUCUUGUUUGUGAAGAAAAGGGAUGGUUCUAUGCGUAAGUGUAUUGAUUAUCGCCAGUUGAACAAAGUUACAGCGAAGAACUGUUAUCCUUUGCCUCGUAUUGAUGAUUUGUUUGACUAGCUUCAGGGCGCAUGGGUGUUUUCUAAGAUUGACUUGCGCUCAGGUUACCAUCAUUUGAAGAUUCGGGAGCCAGAUAUCCCAAAGACUGCUUUCAGGACUCGAUAUGGUCAUUACGAGUUCCUUGUUAUAUCAUUUGGGCUGACCAAUGCCCUAGCAGCCUUUAUGCAUUUGAUGCACAGUGUGUUCCGGCCGUAUCUUGACUCGUUCGUCAUUGUCUUUAUUAAUGAUAUUAUGGUAUAUUCCCGGAGUCGGGAAGAUCAUGAGCAGCACCUGAGGACAGCACUCCAGACUCUAAGGGAAAAAAAGUUAUAUGCUAAGUUCUCGAAAUGUGAGUUUUGGUUGGAUUCCGUGGCAUUCUUAGGUCACGUGAUAUUCUGAUGUUACACCUAACAAGAAGUACCAUAGUAAAACUUCUCAAUGCCGAUGUAAAGAGAACGGGGAGCAUAAAAUAGAGGCGGUCACAGGAUUAGAAGGUGGCAAGGGCGCAUAAGCGGAUUGCUCGAUCAAUGCUCCCAUCAGAUGUCUUAAGAGUUUCUAAUAAAAUAUAUGACGGUCUUCAACGCGCGCGCACACACAUAUAUAUAUAUAUCCAAAAUACUUGUCGAGGUUAACGGGACAGGUGACCCCUCUCCUCAACACAUAGGACCACCUCUGGCAGAACACUCAUAAUAAAUAGAAGUAGUAUAUUAAAAUGAGCAAAAUCGUCAGAAAGGGGCAGAGACAAAGGGGUGCUUCGUCAGAAAAGAAGGUAUGCAUAGGCAUUCAUAAAAGACAGUAUUUUAAGGGUUUGAACAAAUUUCAGGCGUAUCAUGUGGUUUGGGCGAGGAAAAGACAGAGAAACCAACAAAACAAAUUGAAAUAGUCAGAAAAUAGUGAAUCAGGAGAUACAAUCCACUAGACAAGAGAGAAGGGAAGCCAUAAUAAUAAUAAUAAUAAUAAUAAUAAUAAUAAUAAUAAUAAUAAUAAUAAAUUCCAGGUGAUUAUGUCAUGAAGGGAGGUUUGGAGCAACGGUUAAACAGUCUCCAUGUGAUCUACAGGUCACGGGUUCGAGCAGCGGAAUCAGCCCUAUCUCCAUGUGAUCUACAAGUCAAGGGUUCGAGCCGCGGAAUCAGGCAUUGAUACUUGUAUCAGGGUAAGUUACCUAUGUUACCUCCUUGGAGUGCAACCCCUACCCAGCGUGACCGUGGGAGCACCUGACUACCAUUUGCCAGGUGAUUAUGUCAUCUUAGCAAUUUUAAGUAGCUGAAAAUAUUUUUUCGCCGAAUCCUACUAUGCCCACAAAAAAUGAAGUUGAUGUUUAUUUUGUUUGUCCUGUUUGCAGUCGCUGGCUUGAGGUUAAAUUGACCAAAAGAAAAAAAAACUAUUACCUAGAAGAUACCUAUUAACCGCCUCUAAGCAGAAUACAUUUGCAAAACAGGAAGCAAGCGACAUGUAAGAAUAAAAAAAUAUGAGCCAAGCAAAGGCAACCAACAUAUCCCUACACAAAAAUAAAUAAAUACUGAACUUGAACUUGAUAGCCAAGAUCCCAUGAUAUGGGAUAAUACUAGGUAUGUUAUUAUUGAACUUGAUGGUGGAGAGACAGAUAAUUUAGAAACUGAUAAAAGAACAAAUAAUGGAAUUGGGUAUGUAACAGCUAUAUAUAGGGGCAAAGCUUACACGAUGAGAGACGAGAAUAACACGGGAGUGGCGUUUCAUCAAAUACUGAAUGGCUGGAAGAGCGUCUAGGAUUCUGGUGUCAUCUUCGAUACUUGAGGCCAUCUCCAACCUUGCCCCCAUUCUCCAUAAUAGAGGAAAUAUUUGGGGGAAUUUAGCUCCAACCCUCC